UGCAUCUGCAGCCCAUGAGGAUGAGAACCUCCGGGGGCAGGGAGGUUCGACUCGAGCGAAGCGAGAGAACGUUGCGCCAGCAACGGCCCGCAGGGCGAGCCACGAAGUGGCGAGUAA
RNAcentral lists this small RNA (117 nucleotides) under Escherichia coli. Its description in RNAcentral is "partial RtT sRNA". It matches the Rfam family "RtT RNA", at positions 1 to 113 of the family's 130-position model. Rfam says of the family: This family represents a bacterial cis-regulatory element known as RtT RNA. The exact function of RtT is unknown although it is thought that it may be involved in changing the cellular response in relation to amino acid starvation. Lineage: Bacteria; Pseudomonadati; Pseudomonadota; Gammaproteobacteria; Enterobacterales; Enterobacteriaceae. The record is from RNAcentral.